Molecule: long non-coding RNA, 328 nt
Organism: Cryptotermes secundus
Lineage: Eukaryota; Metazoa; Arthropoda; Insecta; Blattodea; Kalotermitidae
Exons: 2
Source: RefSeq, a predicted model, not a curated record
GCAUUGCACCGUAGUGUCAUGGCGGCCAUGGGAGUUUUAUAGGGUUUUAUAGGUUUAUAGGGGUGUUCGAAUUCGAAAGAGCCCAAACGCACCAGUUAAUUGUGCAUGCCAAGAAAAAUUAAAAUGGUGGAUGAUUUUGUUCAUGGCUUUGAUAUCGGUUUCUGAAACAAGUUUGUCGUCUCUAGAGAGUGGACUUCAAAGGCACCGUAACGAAAGUGUAAAAAUGUCCGAGUCGCUGUGGGAAGAUAAGGAAGUUAGAUUUGACAUUCCUUUUUAUCAAAUGAAAAUGAGACCUGGAGAAAAAAUACUGGAUAGACUGGAUUCUGUU